GCAGCCUCCAUGAGGAAAACCUGAACAAGCAUCUCCAUCUAUUACCUCGAUCUUUCAGUAUCUCCGUCUCUCGCUCUCAAUCUCUCUUCCUCUUUAUCGAUGGAGAUUCAUUAAAAUCAACAACAAGAAGAAGAACUUUUCUCUUUGUCCUGGUCUCUCUACCUCAAUUAAAAGCGACGAAGAAAACCUAAAAUCGAGAACACAGAUUCCUCUUCAAACCUAAAAUAGCUGACGAUGAUCAAGAUAUGGGUGGUUGAGGGAAACUCUUUUCUAUUGUUUUAUCGAUUCCACCCCUAAAUUUUCAAUUAGGGUUUCCAAUUUUGUGUUUUUAGGUGGUUUUAGAUUUCGUUUAGGUUUUUGUGCCUAAUUUUGGUAAUGAAAAAUGGGUUGUCUUUCAGAUCAUUGAUAAUAAUCUUUAUGGAACCUAAAACUUUGGCGUACAAAUCAUUGAUUUUAUAUAGUUGUAUGAUAUUGUGGGUGAUUUCUUUUAUAAUGCUUUCUUGGCCAUAUAUUGUGCAUCUCUGAGCUCACUUAAACUCCUACUUGUAGAUUAGCAAAGAAAAUUAUCCUCGAGUCACUAAAGGAUGGUGACAUCCUUAUUGGUGACGUUCAUGAAAUAAUGACUGAAAGCAUAGGUGUUGUUUUUAUGCCUCAUGGUCUUGGGCAUUUGUUAGGCAUCGACACAUAUGAUCCUGGUGGUUACCCUAAGGAAAUAGAGAGGCCAAAGGAACCAGGAUUGAAAUCUUUGCGUACAGCUAGAGAUCUCCGAGAGGGAAUGGUUAGUAACCUAGAAAACAAGACAUUCACAGCCAACUAUAUUG
Long non-coding RNA from Papaver somniferum (opium poppy), 821 nucleotides. RefSeq lists it as uncharacterized. The transcript has 4 exons. The record is from RefSeq and is a predicted model, not a curated record. NCBI's taxonomy places the organism in Eukaryota, Viridiplantae, Streptophyta, Magnoliopsida, Ranunculales, Papaveraceae.